Long non-coding RNA from Haliotis rubra (blacklip abalone), 1447 nucleotides. RefSeq lists it as uncharacterized. The record is from RefSeq and is a predicted model, not a curated record. The transcript is spliced from 2 exons. Lineage: Eukaryota; Metazoa; Mollusca; Gastropoda; Lepetellida; Haliotidae.
UUUCCGGGUUAGGAUAGGCUCCCAGCAGCCUAUGCUGGUUGUACCGUGGGGUUUCCGGGUUAGGAUAGGCCCCAGGCAGCCUAUGCUGGUUGUACCGUGGGGUUUCCGGGUUAGGAUAGGCCCCCAGCAGUCAAUGCUGGUUGUACCGUGGGGUUUCCCGGUUAGGAUAGGCCCCCAGCAGUCAAUGCUGGUUGUACUGUGGGGUUUCCCGGUUAGGAUAGGUCCCCAGCAGCCUAUGCUGGUUGUACCGUGGGGUUUCCGGGUUAGGACAGGCCCCCAGCAGCCUAUGCUGGCAUGUUAUUUGUAGGUACUUGGGGACAAGUAAGUGACUUUGUGGGCUCUUGCUUGGGGUCUCGCUUUAUUGUGUCAUCACAACCAAGUGGUGCCAAAUGUUGGCUCAUAUUAUAUCAAAUACUGACUAGUCCUACCCUGACAAAACACAAAGAAACAAUAACAGCACUUAAUGUAUCAAAAAAGAUAAUAUAUUGCUUUCAGGUAUAGUAUGGAAUCUUUUAAUUACCCCCUCACAUGUAGCAUUAGGUGAGAUUUCCUAGUUCCUCUGCAAGGUUAUGGAGAAGUGUUACAUGUGACAGACCCAUGGGACUGGUAGGGAAAGACAAACUGUACAGGUUAUAGGUCAUUAUUUACACAUUCAACGUGUUAAGUAGUAGUUUCGCUAAGGCAGGAAAUUGUUUAAAAUUCAUAGUUGAGUGUAGUACCUGCGUCAUAUUUUGGCAGGAAAUAAAGCUGUUACAGGUUGAGUUGCUGUGUAUUUCAAUAUCUCUAACUGUGUAUUGAAAAAAUCUUACUGAUGUUUUAUUUCAUGAAUGACAAUUAUUACUUAUUUAUUAAGUUGCUUUGUUGAUAUUUAUUAUAUUUUCACCAUAUUGUCUUUUGUUGCCUUAUGAAGAUAUAUGUUGAAGAAAUGUUAUAACAUUAUAGAUAUUGUCUGGUCCACGAUACACAUGUUCAUCCUGUGCUACACUACUGGUUAUUCCUUGGAUGUUGUAGAAUAUCAUGAAUACAUUACACAUCAGUUUAGAUUUCCUCAUACAUUUUCUGGGAUCGGGUGGUCAGGCUCGCUGACUUGGUUGACACAUCAUCAUAUCCCAUUUGUGUAGAUCGAAGCUCAUCCUGUCGAUCACUCGAUUGUCUGGUCCAGACUCGAUUAUUUACAGACUGCCGCCAUAUAGCUGGAAUAUUGCUCAUUGUGGUGUAAAACUAAACUCAUUCACUCAUACAUUUUCACUGCUGUUUACUGUUUAAAUGAGUGCAUUUAGUGAAAUUUAUAUUCAGUCAAAAUAAUGACUACUCAAUGAUCAUGCUGGCCAUGUGGUACAGGUGUUCCUAUUGGCUGUGUUAGGGUUCUCAGUAGUGACGGAUCAGAUGGACCUGGGUUCAAAUCCCAGAUAGCUAUCUCUAUUAUCUUUGAUUUAUCUGUACUAUA